AUACGUAGGGUGCGAGCGUUGUCCGGAAUUACUGGGCGUAAAGAGCUCGUAGGUGGUUUGUCGCGUCGUCUGUGAAAUUCCGGGGCUUAACUCCGGGCGUGCAGGCGAUACGGGCAUAACUUGAGUACUGUAGGGGAGACUGGAAUUCCUGGUGUAGCGGUGAAAUGCGCAGAUAUCAGGAGGAACACCGGUGGCGAAGGCGGUUCUGUGGGCAGUAACUGACGAUGAGGAGCGAAAGCAUGGGUAGCGAACAGGAUUAGAUACCCUGGUAGUCCAUGCCGUAAACGGUGGGCGCUAGGUGUAGGGGUCUUCCACGACUUCUGUGCCGUAGCUAACGCAUUAAGCGCCCCGCCUGGGGAGUACGGCCGCAAGGCUAAAACUCAAAUGAAUUGACGGGG
RNAcentral lists this ribosomal RNA (398 nucleotides) under uncultured bacterium. RNAcentral's name for it is "partial 16S ribosomal RNA". It matches the Rfam family "Bacterial small subunit ribosomal RNA", at positions 523 to 918 of the family's 1533-position model. The record is from RNAcentral.